Molecule: non-coding RNA, 31 nt
Filed under: Rattus norvegicus (Norway rat)
Lineage: Eukaryota; Metazoa; Chordata; Mammalia; Rodentia; Muridae
Source: RNAcentral
UAGGUGCUGGGAAUACAAAAAGAGCUAUGGA